This 603-nucleotide small RNA is filed under the name Pongo abelii (Sumatran orangutan). RNAcentral's name for it is "retained intron". The record is from RNAcentral. Lineage: Eukaryota; Metazoa; Chordata; Mammalia; Primates; Hominidae.
CAGGAAGGCCGCCUGAGGCUGCAGCCAAAUGGGCAAGGUCAGAGUGAGGAGGAGGGGCCAGAACCACAGGGAGGGAGCGGCCAGACCCUCCACGGCCUUAGGGCGUCCCUGAGAUUCCAUCAGGAAACGGAUGUAAUCGGAUCACCCUGGGAACAGUGAGGAAAAUUGACUCCAGGGGGUCAGGGGGACUCAAGGACACCCCCCACCACUGUCUCUCUCCAGCAGAGCCCACACGAUGAAGACCCCCAGGCAGUGACGUAUGCCGAGGUGAAACACUCCAGACCUAGGAGAGAAAUGGCCUCCCCUCCCUCCUCACUGUCUGAGGAAUUCCUGGACACAAAGGACACACAGGCAGAAGAGGACAGGCAGAUGGACACUGAGGUGGUCCUUUCCUCUCCAGGCCCCCAGGCCUCCCCGACCCCCACCACGUUCCUUCCCUCUCACUCUCCCCCACUGCAGGCUGCUGCAUCUGAAGCCCCCCAGGAUGUGACCUACGCCCAGCUGCACAGCUUGACCCUCAGACGGGAGGCAACUGAGCCUCCUCCAUCCCAGGAACGGGAACCUCCAGCUGAGGCCAGCGUCUACGCCACCCUGGCCAUCCAC